Molecule: ribosomal RNA, 253 nt
Filed under: uncultured bacterium
Lineage: Bacteria
Description: partial 16S ribosomal RNA
Rfam family: Bacterial small subunit ribosomal RNA
Source: RNAcentral
UACGGAGGGUGCGAGCGUUGUUCGGAAUUACUGGGCGUAAAGCGCGUGUAGGCGGCUUGGCAAGUCGGGUGUGAAAUCCCUCAGCUUAACUGAGGAAGUGCGCCCGAAACUGCCGAGCUUGAGUACCGGAGAGGGUGGCGGAAUUCCCCAAGUAGAGGUGAAAUUCGUAGAUAUGGGGAGGAACACCGGUGGCGAAGGCGGCCCCCUGGACGGAUACUGACGCUGAGACGCGAAAGCGUGGGGAGCAAACAGG